Non-coding RNA from Musa acuminata subsp. malaccensis (wild Malaysian banana), 2052 nucleotides. The record is from RefSeq and is a predicted model, not a curated record. Lineage: Eukaryota; Viridiplantae; Streptophyta; Magnoliopsida; Zingiberales; Musaceae.
CAAACCCCCCGGCAUGCCUGCUGCCCUCGCGCACCGCCGCACGCAGGUGUUUCAUGCCGCAGCCGCCCACGCGGGAAGCGAGCCCUCGUUCCCUCGCUCCUAUAAACGGAGCUUUGAGGAGAAGAAGUGAGAUAGGGUGAAAGAGUUCCUCGCUUCUAUGGACCUUUGGGGAACGGCAGAAACACAGGGGAAAAGACGUAGCGAAAGGGUGCGGAAGAAGAGGGCAGCAAAGGGGUGAGGGUGAAGUCGUGAGGGAGAAGAAGAGAGGAGAAGAACACUACUCUACCCAAAUCCGACCAAAGCUUCUCGUCCUCGUCUCCGACGUCCGGUCGCGAUCUCUGUCGCAGGCCGGUCACUGUGCUCAUUGCAGCGGCCGCGGAGAACAAGAGAAAGUUGACUGGUCAACUAUGAUCAACCAUAGUCAACAGAGGUGUAAUUGGAGCAGUUAUCAAGCUUAGAGUGGUCAUUUAUUUAUCACUGUUGUGAUACUAGUAUGAUCUGCUUGUGCUUACUGUACCUUAAUAUACAAAGAGAUGCUGCCAUGAGGCAUGUUCGUGCUGGUCGUCACAUUGCCAAAGGUAUUUAUGUCGGAGGCAUCCAAAAAUAAUUGUGGGCUCGCUACCUACGUAGAAGGAUACCAUUUGAAGCAUGCGUACCUGUGAAGUUUACUGCCGCCUUCUCCAAGAACCAUUCUUGGUACUUGCAUCUGCCCGCAGCUGCCGAGUCUCCUUCCACCGUUGCAAACGGCAUUGAAGGCGCCGCUUGAUAUGGCAACAUCUGCCUCAAAAAAUGUUUUAUCUCGCACACCAAUUCAGAUUCGGUGCCAGCCCACCGUUUUGGCCUCCUGGUCUUUUAAGUUUUCUAAUGCUCAUCUACUCUCCUGAUAGAUAGACUGCGAGAAGAAACCACGCCAGUAUUUGGUAUAGGAUGUACAUGUCACCUCUCGCACAUGCAGUAUCUGUCAGAUAUUAAAUGCCUCAUCUCCUCCCAUGGAUCCAUUUUGGCCUUGUUUGCUUUCUUCGUCUCUAUAAAUUCUUCCCCUGUGAAUGCUUCGUCUAAUCACAGUCUUGAAGGUCUAAAACCACACAAUGGAGGGUUUAUGGUGGAAGCACUCCGGUUUUGAACACUGGCUUCUCUGCGUGAAAAUUGUGAGGAAAGUAGCCUUCGCUGUCCUUACUUGCACCUUUGCUUUGUGUGGAUCCUUGGUUGGGUUGAUAUCAGGUGCAGUCAAGGGCCAAACUACAGAGACUGGCCUGUUCCGAGGUGCUGGGAUUGGAGCAAUUUCCGGCGCAAUCGUCUCGGUUGACGUCUUGGAAUCCUGCUUCCAGGGAGAGAUUUUAUCCAAGCUAGACAUCUUUGACAGCCUUCUUGAUGGAAAGAUAUUUCGAGAAUGGGUCAGCCCAGCAUUGCUCAAAGCAUACCAAUGGCAAGAAUUCUUAGUUUUAUAGUUUAACACAAGCAACAGAAACAUUAUCGGAGCGACUAAUAGCAGAUCCUUAAUCUAAGAUCAAUGCAACCGAACCCAGCUACAGAGACAGUUCAGAUAUCUUUGAUGUAAACAAGGACAAGGGUCUAUUACCAAAUGUUAUCAGAAAGUUGCCCAUGUUUGAGAUCAGUCCUAAGGAGACAAUUGAUUCUUGUGGGAAGACAAUAUGCUGUGCCGUCUGCCUGCAGGAUUUCAUCAACGGUGAAGACGCAAGAAGAUUGCCAAUUUGUACACACCUUUUUCAUGCGGUCUGCAUUGAUUUGUGGCUUGUAAAACAUGGUUCCUGCCCUACUUGCAGGCAAGAGGUUUCAGGCUGGAGUUAAUAUCUGGCAAUCUGAAAUUCUCUGAGUUAAAAGAUUGCAUAAUCCUGAGAAAUAAUGUUGGAUGCACAUUCAAUGUGAACAAAGCUAAUAUAGUUUCAUCUUGCAGAGUUAACAGAGAAAAGCAACUAGAAACCCCUGGCAAAAAUGCACAAAAAUCUUUAUAGUUGGAAUGACAAGCUGCUGGUUUUGGUUGGCAAUUCUUUGUCGAAUUUAACCAAUCAAAAAAAUUUUUUUUUUUGCUAA